Molecule: ribosomal RNA, 229 nt
Filed under: uncultured bacterium
Lineage: Bacteria
Description: partial 16S ribosomal RNA
Rfam family: Bacterial small subunit ribosomal RNA
Source: RNAcentral
CACGUAGGCGGCUCGGUAAGUUGGAUGUGAAAGCCCCUGGCUCAACCAGGGAACUGCAUUCAAUACUGCCGAGCUUGAGACCGGUAGGGGAGUGUGGAACUUCUAGUGUAGCGGUGAAAUGCGUAGAUAUUAGAAGGAACGCCGGUGGCGAAAGCGACACUCUGGACCGGUUCUGACGCUGAGGUGCGAAAGCUAGGGGAGCAAACAGGAUUAGAUACCCUGGUAGUCC